AGGGUUUGGCAUGGAAACAAUGGCCAGCAAAGCUUGGUAAAUGAAGCCGCCUACACCGCCCUGCCCCUCCCUGCACGGCCGCGCUCCGCCUCCGCUCCUAUCUCAAUUUGAAUUGUCCUCCUGCAGCCCCACCACCCACAGUGGGGAACCGGUGAAGAGACUACAACUCCUGGAUGCACCGGGAGGCGGGUGUCGCCCCGCAUCCCCCCGCCCUGGGCUAGGCGCACAGCGCAGCCCGGAGCAGGCUGGCAUCCUAGACCCUCUGCCCUGCCAACAACACAACAACAGCCGGGGAGUGGACCUGACCCCGGAACUCCCGAAAUUUCCUGAAGACGGUUCCGCUCCCUGCCUCGCCCUUCCAGGCAGCCCAGCAGUUUCGCCCUGCGGAGGGAAGCCUUUCUGUUCUCAAAUCUCUCGUGCUGGGGAGACAGUGGAGCUAGGGCGGCUAGUUUCCCCUUGUAAUUGUGACACCUUGUCUCCUCGAGCUGCAGGCUAAUGCUUGUCGUGUUCGUAGUUUGAUUUCUCGCAGAUCAACAAAGGGCCGGUGGCCUCUCUCGGCCUCCGCGGGAGGGUUGCCAG
This 579-nucleotide long non-coding RNA is filed under the name Homo sapiens (human). RNAcentral describes it as "novel transcript". Lineage: Eukaryota; Metazoa; Chordata; Mammalia; Primates; Hominidae. The record is from RNAcentral.